GCCGCAAGGCGGAUCCAUCCCUGGAGGAAGCUCGGGCUAAGUCGUGCCAGCAGCCGCGGUAAGACGAACCGAGCGAACGUUGUUCGGAAUCACUGGGCUUAAAGGGCGCGUAGGCGGGCUGCCGCGUCCGGGGUGAAAUCCCACGGCUCAACCGUGGAACGGCCCCGGGUACGGGCGGCCUCGAGGGGGAUAGGGGCGUGCGGAACUGUGGGUGGAGCGGUGAAAUGCGUUGAUAUCCACAGGAACUCCGGUGGCGAAGGCGGCACGCUGGAUCCUCUCUGACGCUGAGGCGCGAAAGCCAGGGGAGCGAACGGGAUUAGAUACCCCGGUAGUCCUGGCCCUAAACGAUGAGAACUGGGUAGUAGCCCUGGCAUGGGGUUACUGCCGCAGCCAAAGUGCUAAGUUCUCCGCCUGGGGAGUAUGGUCGCAAGGCUGAAAACUCAAAGGAAUUGACGGGGGCUCACACAAGCGGUGGAGCAUGUGGCUUAAUUCGAGAC
This 497-nucleotide ribosomal RNA is filed under the name uncultured bacterium. RNAcentral's name for it is "bacterial SSU rRNA". It matches the Rfam family "Bacterial small subunit ribosomal RNA", at positions 461 to 957 of the family's 1533-position model. The record is from RNAcentral.